This is a long non-coding RNA of Cucurbita maxima (winter squash), 414 nucleotides long. RefSeq lists it as uncharacterized. The record is from RefSeq and is a predicted model, not a curated record. The transcript is spliced from 2 exons. Lineage: Eukaryota; Viridiplantae; Streptophyta; Magnoliopsida; Cucurbitales; Cucurbitaceae.
AUAUAUAUAUAAAUAAAGGAAUUUCCUUUCCUUUUCAUCAAUUUCUGUAUCCCUCUCUCUCUUCCUGGCUUUGUUCUUUCUCGGUCUCGGCGAUACAAAUCUAAAAAGGGAGUAUAAUUAUGGGAUACGUGGUGAUAAUUCCUCUGUGGAUGCUUCUGUUCGUUGUGAUUGUGGGCAUUACUGUUUACCUAUUCGUAAGGGCCCGUAGACGAAGGCAAGCGGCCCAAAUUCCAAUGUACUAUGGGCCUCCUGCUCCCCCCUUGCAGGCCCAAGAUAAGCCCAACUGAUCUAUCCAAUUCCAACACUCCUCCAAAUAUGCUUUGUGUGAUAUUACGUUAUAUCUUGGCCUGUUGCUCUUUGCGUGAAACAAAUAAAUAAAUGAAUUUGGGAUGAAUCUUAAUUUAGUUAAUGUUA